RNAcentral lists this transfer RNA (537 nucleotides) under uncultured Prochlorococcus sp. RNAcentral describes it as "partial 16S-23S ribosomal RNA intergenic spacer". The stretch from base 213 to 285 matches the Rfam family "tRNA". The record is from RNAcentral. Lineage: Bacteria; Bacillati; Cyanobacteriota; Cyanophyceae; Synechococcales; Prochlorococcaceae.
CAGGGAGACAACAAAAUGUUUAAUAUUAUUAUUUUGUCACCUUAGGUCGAUCGGUAUCUCACAUUCUUAAUUUAUUAAGGAUUUUAUUUCCUAAGUUUUUUCUAGGUCACACCCAUUACUUUUCCUGGGCCAUUAGCUCAGGUGGUUAGAGCGCACCCCUGAUAAGGGUGAGGUCCCUGGUUCAAGUCCAGGAUGGCCCAUAUCUCUAUGUUGGGGGUAUAGCUCAGUUGGUAGAGCGCCUGCUUUGCAAGCAGGAUGUCAGCGGUUCGAGUCCGCUUACCUCCACUGAUUACCACCUCUUCCAUAAUUAUUAAGGAAAUGUUUUGAGUAGUGAUCAAAUUCUGAACGAAUCUAGCUUCCUAAUGAAUUCAUUAAGAUGCUGGACUCAUUGAAUUAUUUUCAUUGUUUUCAGAGAACCUUGACAACUGCAUAGAUUAUUUUUAAAGACAAUAAGCAUCUUUAUGANGCAGAUUUAUUAUUUGUGCGAAUGCAUUAAUAACAAUUCUAUUAAGCUGAUGCUUCAAUUAUGAAGUUAUU